RNAcentral lists this ribosomal RNA (406 nucleotides) under uncultured archaeon. Its description in RNAcentral is "bacterial SSU rRNA". It matches the Rfam family "Archaeal small subunit ribosomal RNA", at positions 6 to 395 of the family's 1478-position model. The record is from RNAcentral.
GGUUGAUCUGCCGGACCUGACUGCUAUCGGAUUGGUACUAAGCCAUGCGAGUCAUUGUACAAUACAAGGCGGACGGCUCAGUAACACGUAGUCAACCUAACUCGUGGACGUGGAUAACCUCGGGAAACUGAGAAUAAACCACGAUAGAUCAUAGUGCCUGGAAUGGCUUAUGGUCCAGACAGUUUACUGCCAUGGGAUGGGACUGCGGCCUAUCAGCUUGUUGGUGAGGUAAUGGCCCACCAAGGCGAUGACAGGUACGGGCUCUGAGAGGAGAAGCCCGGAGAUGGGUACUGAGACACGGAUCCAGGCCCUAUGGGGCGCCGCAGGUGGGUACUGGCUUACGGACCGUGGCUAUGGGGCCUGGGUCGGUAAGCCUUGAUCCCUGCUAAAGCCGACUGGGUCCUUC